AACCUCAUGGUGCAAUGGUAGUGUCUGAUUUUAGAUCAGAAGGUUGUGUAUUCAAAUCACAUUGAGGUCA
This 70-nucleotide transfer RNA is filed under the name Scleropages formosus (Asian bonytongue). It matches the Rfam family "tRNA". Rfam says of the family: Transfer RNA (tRNA) molecules are approximately 80 nucleotides in length. Their secondary structure includes four short double-helical elements and three loops (D, anti-codon, and T loops). The record is from Rfam by way of RNAcentral. Lineage: Eukaryota; Metazoa; Chordata; Actinopteri; Osteoglossiformes; Osteoglossidae.